GAUGAACGCUGGCGGCGUGCCUAAUACAUGCAAGUCGAGCGAACAGACGAGGAGCUUGCUCCUCUGACGUUAGCGGCGGACGGGUGAGUAACACGUGGAUAACCUACCUAUAAGACUGGGAUAACUUCGGGAAACCGGAGCUGAUACCGGAUAAUAUAUUGAACCGCAUGGUUCAAUAGUGAAAGACGGUUUUGCUGUCACUUAUAGAUGGAUCCGCGCCGCAUUAGCUAGUUGGUAAGGUAAUGGCUUACCAAGGCAACGAUGCGUAGCCGACCUGAGAGGGUGAUCGGCCACACUGGAACUGAGACACGGUCCAGACUCCUACGGGAGGCAGCAGUAGGGAAUCUUCCGCAAUGGGCGAAAGCCUGACGGAGCAACGCCGCGUGAGUGAUGAAGGUCUUCGGAUCGUAAAACUCUGUUAUUAGGGAAGAACAAAUGUGUAAGUAACUAUGCACGUCUUGACGGUACCUAAUCAGAAAGCCACGGCUAACUACGUG
Molecule: ribosomal RNA, 497 nt
Filed under: uncultured bacterium
Lineage: Bacteria
Description: partial 16S ribosomal RNA
Rfam family: Bacterial small subunit ribosomal RNA
Source: RNAcentral